UCUUUCCCUCUCUCGUUGAGCUCCUUGUUUUCCUCUCACUGUUGCCUAGUCUCCUCUCUGACUUGACCGUCGGAGGGUCCCCACCGGAGCCGCCUUCGGUCAGUACGGACUUUUUUUUGCAGGCGCUCGUUCUCGAUGACCAAACGAUGAGAAGAUUGGCCGCAACACCGUGCAACAGAUGAAAUCUCACCAUCACCUAAGAGUACAUGACUGAUGUUGCUGCCUGGUUGCUGUCAUUAUGUGCCAAUUUUUCCCCAGCUUUGUAACCAAUUUCAGAGUUCACUUUCUUUCUUGUAUAAAAGAAUGGCCUAGUGCAUUGGA
RNAcentral lists this long non-coding RNA (321 nucleotides) under Elaeis guineensis (African oil palm). RNAcentral's name for it is "long non-coding RNA (EGUI_LNC026313)". Lineage: Eukaryota; Viridiplantae; Streptophyta; Magnoliopsida; Arecales; Arecaceae. The record is from RNAcentral.